UACGUAGGUGGCAAGCGUUGUCCGGAAUUAUUGGGCGUAAAGCGCGCGCAGGCGGUCCUUUAAGUCUGAUGUGAAAGCCCUCGGCUCAACCGAGGAGGGUCAUUGGAAACUGGAGGACUUGAGUGCAGAAGAGGAAAGUGGAAUUCCAAGUGUAGCGGUGAAAUGCGUAGAGAUCCGGAGGAACACCAGCGGCGAAGGCGGCAUCCUGGACUGGUCCUGACGCUCAGGAGCGAAAGCGUGGGGAGCGAUCCGG
This 253-nucleotide ribosomal RNA is filed under the name uncultured bacterium. Its description in RNAcentral is "partial 16S ribosomal RNA". It matches the Rfam family "Bacterial small subunit ribosomal RNA", at positions 524 to 776 of the family's 1533-position model. The record is from RNAcentral.